RNAcentral lists this ribosomal RNA (443 nucleotides) under Hyalorostratum brunneisporum. RNAcentral's name for it is "eukaryotic LSU rRNA". It matches the Rfam family "Eukaryotic large subunit ribosomal RNA", at positions 696 to 1143 of the family's 3401-position model. The record is from RNAcentral. Lineage: Eukaryota; Fungi; Ascomycota; Sordariomycetes; Diaporthales.
GGGUGUUAAACCCGCCCGCGUAAUGAAAGUGAACGUAGGUGAAGAAGCUUCGGCGCAUCAUCGACCGAUCCUGAUGUAUUCGGAUGGAUUUGAGUAAGAGCUAUACUGGACGGACCCGAAAGAUGGUGAACUAUGCCUGAAUAGGGUGAAGCCAGAGGAAACUCUGGUGGAGGCUCGCAGCGGUUCUGACGUGCAAAUCGAUCGUCAAAUUUGGGCAUGGGGGCGAAAGACUAAUCGAACCAUCUAGUAGCUGGUUACCGCCGAAGUUUCCCUCAGGAUAGCAGUGUUGUUUUCAGUUUUAUGAGGUAAAGCGAAUGAUUAGGGACUCGGGGGCGAUUUUUAGCCUUCAUCCAUUCUCAAACUUUAAAUAUGUAAGAAGCCCUUGUUACUUAAUUGAACGUGGGCAUUCGAAUGUAUCAACACUAGUGGGCCAUUUUUGGUAA